CCGGGGGCCUUAGCGCGGUGGUCCCACCUGACCCCAUGCCGAACUCAGAAGUGAAACGCCGUAGCGCCGAUGGUAGUGUGGGGUCUCCCCAUGCGAGAGUAGGGAACUGCCAGGC
Molecule: ribosomal RNA, 115 nt
Filed under: Escherichia coli
Lineage: Bacteria; Pseudomonadati; Pseudomonadota; Gammaproteobacteria; Enterobacterales; Enterobacteriaceae
Source: RNAcentral